GAUAUAACUGGCUCAUCUCUGCCUUCCUCAAUAUUAGUGGACAACACCCAUGCCAUACUGUACGCUGUAAAGCUCACGUUCUUCUGAUUUCGUGAUAGAAUCUCUUUGGCUCCGCUUUUCAGAGUUUUAAAGAGCAGGGAGAACACCAUUUAGAGCCGGGUUCUUUCUGCCUCCAUUUGAAGAGUCUGAGUCCCCGGCUCUUCAGAGGCCACCUUCUGGGAGGCCCCCCAACACUGCUCCAAACCUGCCAAGAAACCCUUGAUGUGCUCCAGGCUCCAUUCUCACCGCUCCCACCUUGGAAUGGAAACUUUGUGCCUGCCUACAAAUACUGCCUUGAACACUUGAAAAACCCAGCGCUCCCCUCAGGUGGAACGCGAGUCUUUGGAACAAACGUGAAAGGAAUUCGUUAAGUGAAGUUCCUGAACGUGAACGCGAGCGAGGCACCGAGAGUCAAGUGCCGCACGCACUUCAUUACUAAAAGCUGCUGCCUGGGAGUGACUGCCUCAAGAACACUGCGGAGCGAGGCAUGAAAGGCGCCGAUUCCGUUCCCUCUCAGCUUCCCAACUUCAAGAGACCCGUCCUAGAGACUUGGGAUGACCGAGGGAGGUUGCAAUUCUGACAGUGGGAGCUGUCCAUGCCCCAGUCUUACCCCUCUUUCGAGUAGCCCAGGCAGAUUGGUCUCUGUCCGUCUCUGUACUUCUCAUUCUGCUUGAGUAUAUGAGCACCACUAAUCAGGUUCCCCAGCCCAGCACAUUCUCAUCUGAGGAGUUAAGGAAAGAGAAGAAUACAUGUUUGACCGUCUCCACUCAAAUGCAUGAUUCCUACACCUUCUUCAAGAGACUGAAGGUCCUGAGCUCUGGGGCUUUGCUGUUUAUAAUUUCAGGUGUACACGCUUAGGGUUUGCAGUGUGAUGAUUAGAUAUGCAUGUACAUAGUUUAUUGAUGCAGUUAGAAUGUCUAACACUUUGAUCUGCUUGAAUAUUUAAUGUGUUUUAUUGAUGUGUAAUAAAUGUAUUGGCUCAUAAGGCACACUGUAUAUUUCAAGACUGUAUGAAGCAUAGUGAUCAAGUAAGAGCAAUUGGUACUUCCAUCUCCUCGUUAUUGUUCAUUUGUACUCUUCCUGGUGCUCCCCUCUUCUGCUUAUUUAUAUAAUAAAGAGUAUAGAAUAUAGAAAUAUA
Molecule: long non-coding RNA, 1177 nt
Organism: Alexandromys fortis (reed vole)
Lineage: Eukaryota; Metazoa; Chordata; Mammalia; Rodentia; Cricetidae
Exons: 2
Source: RefSeq, a predicted model, not a curated record